This 598-nucleotide long non-coding RNA is filed under the name Arabidopsis lyrata. RNAcentral's name for it is "long non-coding RNA (ALYR_LNC000893)". The record is from RNAcentral. Lineage: Eukaryota; Viridiplantae; Streptophyta; Magnoliopsida; Brassicales; Brassicaceae.
CUCAAGAAUCAAAAACCAAUUCUUACUGCACAAUCUAGUUCAAUACUUAUUACAACAUGUUUUCUUAUAUUGUAUGAUUUGAUACCAACAUUUUGAACUGCUUAUGAAAUAAAAACCUUUCCUAACCUCUCUUGUGUUCCAAAUCAUUCAUACUAUUAGUAAUCGUCAUUGAUCCUUAAUGCAUUUUUUUUUUUAAAAGUAACGGGUCGUCUAACAAGUCCAUCAAAACGGGAACUCCUAGAUCUCUCUAUAUGCACCGGAUUCAUAUGGUUCCAAUGGAAAUAAAUGCUACUUGAAACGAGAUUGUUCGCACGGUCCAUGGACUUUUUUGGCGUGUUUGUACUAGACCUAUUCUCCAAAGCCUAUACAAUCCUCCCUUUCGACAAAAGCACAUCACUGUUCCAUUAGUCCCUCAUCCGAAGAAGACGAAUAUUGCGGAUACAUUCGACCUGCUCACCUUGCUCUUUUUGUUUUAUUUGGGCUGGCUGGCUCCUUUGUGAUCGACAUUUUCUCCCUGUUAUUUGCUCUAGUGUCUACUUGCACGCUGUUGAACUACCUAAACCCCCAAUUCUAUGGAUUUUUUUUUCCGCAAAAUCUA